Molecule: ribosomal RNA, 382 nt
Filed under: uncultured bacterium
Lineage: Bacteria
Description: bacterial SSU rRNA
Rfam family: Bacterial small subunit ribosomal RNA
Source: RNAcentral
CGCAAUGGGCGAAAGUCUGACGGAGCGACGCCGCGUGAUUGAUGAAGCUUUUCGGAGUGUAAAGAUCUUUUAUGAGGGAAGAAGUUUAUUGACGGUACCUCAUGAAUAAGGGGCUCCUAAUCUCGUGCCAGCAGGAGCGGUAAUACGAGAGCCCCGAGCGUUAUCCGGAAUUAUUGGGCGUAAAGGGUGCGUAGGUGGUUGUGUUAGUCGUUUGUCAAAUCUCCGGGCUUAACUCGGAAUCCGCGAACGAAACGGCACAACUUGAGAGUGUGAGGGGUAUAGGGAACUCAUGGUGUAGGGGUGAAAUCCGUUGAUAUCAUGGGGAACACCAAAAGCGAAGGCACUAUACUGGCACAUAUCUGACACUCAAGCACGAAAGCGU